AUACGGAGGAUCCGAGCGUUAUCCGGAUUUAUUGGGUUUAAAGGGUGCGCAGGCGGCCAUUUAAGUCAGCGGUUAAAUCGUGGGGCUCAACCCCAUUCUGCCGUUGAUACUGGGUGGCUUGAUUGCGGUCGAGGUUGGCGGAAUUCGUUGUGUAGCGGUGAAAUGCAUAGAUAUGACGAAGAACACCGAUUGCGUAGGCAGCUGGCCAGACCGCAAAUGACGCUCAUGCACGUAAGUGCUGGGAUCGAACAGGAUUAGAUACCCUUGUAGUCCGCACAGUAAACGAUGAAUACUUGUUUUCGGCGAUAUAAUGUCGGAGGCAAAGCGAAAGCGAUAAGUAUUCCACCUGGGGAGUACGCCGGCAACGGUGAAACUCAAAGGAAUUGACGGGG
RNAcentral lists this ribosomal RNA (392 nucleotides) under uncultured bacterium. RNAcentral describes it as "partial 16S ribosomal RNA". It matches the Rfam family "Bacterial small subunit ribosomal RNA", at positions 523 to 918 of the family's 1533-position model. The record is from RNAcentral.